GUAGGUGAACCUGCGGAAGGAUCAUUACAAAUCCCCAUCCCUUUAACCACGUUGAAAUGUUCCAGUGGGAGCGGGCGCCACGUGCCGGGCAACCGGGUACAGGCGCGCCCGCUCUCCCUGACCAACAAUACUAAUCGUGUUCCAUCCAGUUGCUUCGCAAGGGUGGUGGUGCGGUGUGAUGGCGCGUGGUGGUGGCGGAUCGCGUCCCCUGCCCCCACGUCCCUCCCUAGCCGCGCCCCCUCCCAACAAC
RNAcentral lists this unclassified non-coding RNA (250 nucleotides) under plant metagenome. RNAcentral describes it as "partial contains small subunit ribosomal RNA, internal transcribed spacer 1, and 5.8S ribosomal RNA". The record is from RNAcentral.